Molecule: non-coding RNA, 81 nt
Organism: Alligator sinensis (Chinese alligator)
Lineage: Eukaryota; Metazoa; Chordata; Crocodylia; Alligatoridae
Source: Rfam
GUAGUUGUGGAUGCGUGGUAAAAGCAAUGGACUCAAAAUCCAUUGUGGUUUCCUGUGCAGGUUUAUAUCCUGUUAAUUAUG